RNAcentral lists this ribosomal RNA (500 nucleotides) under uncultured bacterium. Its description in RNAcentral is "partial 16S ribosomal RNA". It matches the Rfam family "Bacterial small subunit ribosomal RNA", at positions 30 to 523 of the family's 1533-position model. The record is from RNAcentral.
AUUGAACGCUGGCGGAAUGCUUUACACAUGCAAGUCGAACGGCAGCACGGACUUCGGUCUGGUGGCGAGUGGCGAACGGGUGAGUAAUACAUCGGAACGUGCCCAGUCGUGGGGGAUAACGUAGCGAAAGCUACGCUAAUACCGCAUACGAUCUAAGGAUGAAAGCGGGGGGUCGCAAGACCUCGCGCGAUUGGAGCGGCCGAUGGCAGAUUAGGUAGUUGGUAGGGUAAAGGCCUACCAAGCCGACGAUCUGUAGCUGGUCUGAGAGGAUGAUCAGCCACACUGGGACUGAGACACGGCCCAGACUCCUACGGGAGGCAGCAGUAGGGAAUUUUGGACAAUGGGCGCAAGCCUGAUCCAGCCAUUCCGCGUGCAGGAUGAAGGCCUUCGGGUUGUAAACUGCUUUUGUACAGAACGAAAAGGCUCUGGUUAAUACCCGGGGCUCAUGACGGUACUGUAAGAAUAAGCACCGGCUAACUACGUGCCAGCCGCCGCAGUAA